AAAGUUUAAUCACAUAAUGAAAGCACCAAAAAGGGUUCUUAGAAAGAUUCCAUAAAAUAAGUGUUAAAACUAUUUCUCAAUCACAUUAAAAAUAUACUCGAAUCUCAUUGGACUCACAUCAAUGUUAAACUGCUUAGAAAAUAUGUUUUUGACCGGUAGAACAAGAAAAAAGUCAGAAUCUCCAAAGUAUCUCUUUAUAGCACUUAGUUUCAUGUCAAGCUUAUAGAUGUCUUCCAUCUACCCCAUUUUAAAAGAGAAAAAGAGGAUUCAAUAAAAUACACCAAAAAUCCUUUCAAAAAUCUUCAUCCUCAUAAUGCAAGCUUCAUCGUGAAUUAUCUACGGUUGAAGAAUGAGCUUUCAAAUAAUUUUCUUAAUCUUCUUUGGAUUAUUUUUUGAUGCGCUUAAAGCUGUUUUAAAGAUGAUUUGAGAAAAAAAACUAAAACAAGGAUAACUUUUCAUUGAACUAAAAUCAUAUGAUUCCUGAUGUCAUGUCUUUAUUGUUUUUUUCCUUUCACAAAAAUACUUGGGAUUACC
This 534-nucleotide long non-coding RNA is filed under the name Carica papaya (papaya). RNAcentral's name for it is "long non-coding RNA (CPAP_LNC004556)". Lineage: Eukaryota; Viridiplantae; Streptophyta; Magnoliopsida; Brassicales; Caricaceae. The record is from RNAcentral.